CUUCCCCUUUCUCUAUAUCCAGAAAACAGGAAUGUGUUGUGCAUUAUAUUGCCAUCUUCAAUCUGGUCUGCAGAGAAGUUCCCUUAUGCCUGCCUUAUUUUACUUUAAUGCUUUCCAUUUGGGGUUGGUGUUUGAGAACGUUUCGAUGGGUCAUUUCCAAUUGCAGGUGGAGUCGAUGCGUUCAAGUUUAAAUCUCUCUCGCUCCCCGCAAGCAGAGCUUCACGUGUGGCUGAACCUGCCCACACACCCUCUGCUGUGCUUAAUCACUGGCGUGCAGCUGCCGUCACCCCAAUUGCAGUUACACGCUGCAGGGGUGCCUUGCCCUUUCUAGUGUUACAGCAGUCAUCCUUCGUGCUCUCAGUGUGCCGAGACCGUGGGACUCUGGAGAGUCGAGUCAAGUCCCAGCCUGUUGCAGCUUCCAGCCUGCAGGAGACGAAUGUGUUGCAGCAGCUGGCAGACGGCUCAGGGUGCUGCAGCAGAGGAAGGAUGCUCUGCUAAACCACGAAGGAGCAAAACGGCAAAGGUACAUAAGACCACUAGACUGCUUUGGGGCUUUUGCUAAUAAGUGGCAAUUAAAAUUCCAUCAUCUUGUGGACACCGCCACCGAUUCCCAAGAGAGACUGCAGGGAGGGAGAGAGUUCCGUUUAAAAUAAACAGGCACACAGGAAAGGAUCUUGUCUUCGUGCGGAAGCCUUGGAGCACCUCCUGAAUAACAGAUGGCUGCAGAAAACCUGGCAGACAAGCAGCCCAACAGUGUCCUAGUGGGGAUCAGCAUCUUCCAGUGCGCCCUCUCCCUGGGAUCAGCCCUGGAUUCUCAGGUGCGGGAUGAGCAGAGAUGAAGUGUCUGGGGCCACCAGGCAUACCUCGCAGGAGAAGCGAGGUGGUCUGUGAGGAGGCAGGAUCUUUUGAAGGCAGAAGAAAAGAGAAGCAAGUUGUGCUUAGACUGACCAGACAGAUGCUGAAAUUGCUCCUGGCUGAAAGCGCAGAAACAAGCAGCUGUGCUGGUGAAUAACUGUCAGAUGCCUCCAUGUUCAGCUCGGCCGUGAGCAUCGCUCGCUGGGACCGUGGGGCAGUGCCCUUGUGCCACAGCCAUGUGUCCCCAUCGACUUUGUAAGACAAGAAGCAAUGAGCUCUUUCUUCACUGUUUUAGUGCUCUGAAUUAAGGCAGAAUCUUGAUAAUGUUUGUGAUGACUUGAAUAAAUACCUUGUACUCAUUCGUUAAUGACAUGGGUCUCACUGGCUUUGGUAGGUACUGUUUUGCUGUGAUUUAUUCUGCUGUAUCUAAUAAAUGGAUUUUUCUUA
Long non-coding RNA from Aquila chrysaetos chrysaetos, 1302 nucleotides. RefSeq lists it as uncharacterized. NCBI's taxonomy places the organism in Eukaryota, Metazoa, Chordata, Aves, Accipitriformes, Accipitridae. The record is from RefSeq and is a predicted model, not a curated record. The transcript is spliced from 2 exons.